UUCUUUUUAGGGCUGCACCUGCAGCAUAUGGAUGUUCCCAGGCUAGGGGUUGAAUUGGAGCUGUAGCUGCCAGCUUAUGGGAGAGUCACAGCAACCCAGGAUCCUUAAGCCACUGAAUGAGGCCAGAGAUCAAAUGCACAUCCUCAUGGAUACUAAUCAGAUUUACCAAGAUGGGAACUCCCUUGGAUAAAAUUUUUAAACAUAAAAAAUAACUAUGUUAAACACCACCUUUAGGGGGAAGUAAAUUACAGGCAUGUCUUACGAAUAUAUGGCAUAUGUAAGACAGUUAGAGACUAUGCUUUAUAUGUAUGGGAAAAUAAUGCAUGAAUAAAUGCUUAUGAGUAAUUUUCCUAAUGGAGAAGGUAAUACUAAGGGGGGGGGGUCUCUUUCUACAUUAUAUGUACCUGCAGUGCUUGAAAUUUAUUGGCAGGGUCAUGGUGAGGGAUACAUGCUCUGAGUUAACAUUUAUGGAGAUCAAGCAUUGUCUCCUCCAAUUACUAGCUACUAUUUAAAAACUGAAAUGCUUUUGUUUCCUCAGUGGUAAAAUUGUGAUAAUUUUAAUUUAACAGAAUACUUUAUAAGGUCACAUGAGAUAAAAGAUAUAAAUUCCAUCCACUGAUAACCAGAGAUGCAGCCAAUAGCUGUUAGUUGUUAUUGGUCAUAUCAUUAUUGUUACUUAGUAAAAGCUAUGAACACUUUAAAAGACUAAAACCACACUUGAAGAGGAUCUGGAUAAAACACAAUUUUAAAGUUACUUUUUAGAAGAUGUUAGUUCUAAUAGCCUCUAAUGAAAGCUUCCUUCACCAUGUUUUUUUGUAUGUUCCCCUGUUGUCCAUUGUCCAUGUUCAUUUUUCUAUUAACAUGUUAUAUUUCAUCAUUAACUUAUUUAUCUAAUACUUCCCUUGCAAGUGUGUUAGCAUCAAGAGGGCAGGGACAACAUCUCCUUUAUAUUGUGCUACAUUAUAUCUCUGGAUACCCAAUCCUAGCACAGUGAUGUUUCAUAGUUUACAAUCAGUAUUUGGGUCAGUACUCUUCACAUGAUCAAAUUGUACUAAAGAAUCAGCUUGGCAAUCAAACAUGGAAAAGUGCUUAGAUUUAAGACCCAGUGUCUAUAGUCUGUUCCUUUUUCUCUUAUAUCCCUUUACCCUUUGAAGGUGUACAGUGUUGCAAAUGCCAUGACUACUUAACAAUCCCAAGACAGUAGUCUUGUAAUGUGUUAUUCAAAAGGAAAUAGAAAGCUGCCCUGGAGAAAGGAUGUUGGUCAAACCUAGGUCACACACAUAGUCUUUGAUGGGAGUGGGGCGGUACAGACUGGCACCCCCUGAACCCUGGGAAGCUGAUGCUGUCACCAGAAGGGGAAAGGAAUGCUGGGAAGAAAGAGGCGAGAACAGCUUUCUACUACAGAUGUAAAAACCGUUAAGUCAAUUCUAUAGCCGUUGACUGUACAGUUGCUUUAAGAGUUUUUAAAGCUACAGGUGUCCUUAAAUUUCUUCUAAGGAAUGAAAUUUAAAUGUAAAUCUUGAGCCACUUUUGCAUUGUGUAAACAAAAUCUUUGGUUGUUGAAGUGUGGUUACUUUAAUAUAGUCACAAAUUUAGGUCAGUUGAGAUGAAUGUCAACCAUUGAUAGCACCAGCCCGUGCCUCCAUUGUGGCAGGACAGCAACUGCUGAAUGGGGAAAUAGAUAAGUAAUUGUGGGGGGCAAAGCUGAUGGAAAAAGUGGUAAUUGGAAAUGCUUUAAGUCUAUCCUUGACAUCCUUGUCAUGGAAGGCAUGCAAGAAAUAAACAUAUGAAACCCAGUUCUUCCACAGCAAUUUCAGGGAGGAAACUGGCAUAAAACCCCAGUAUUAUAUCAAAAAAUCCAAUAACACAGAAUGCUAAUUACAGAUUAGAUUUCAAUGUAUACUUGUCAUCCAGAAAAAAAAACUCAGGGGAGUUCUCAUUGUGGCUCAGUGGAAAUGAAUCUGGAUGCAGGUUCGAUCCCUGGCCUUGCUCAGUGGGCUAAGGAUACAGCAUUGCCCUGAUCUGUGGUGUAGGUCACAGAUGUGGCUCGGAUCCCAUGUUGCUGUUGCUGUGGCUGUGGCGUCAUCCAGCAGCUACAGCUCCGAUUCGAUCUCUAGCCUGGGAAACUCCAUAUGCUGUGGGUGUGGCCCCCAAAAGACAAAUAAAUAAAUAAAUAAAUAAGCAACUCGGGAUACCCUCUCUAAAUCACAUAUUAUCACUGAGCUAUUUUUAAAGUAAUUAGUACAAUAUAAGGCUUAUCUUUCUUUUCCUUAAUUAUUUUUAUUUCUUAUCCACUGUUAUUACACAUUUUGUAGACACGAAAUUAGUGAGUCAGGAUGACUGGAUGGAGGAACUGGUGAUACUUAGCUACAGACAUUUCUAGAAAAGUUAUUUUUAGGAUUAAAGAUGGUUGCUCUUGAAUAUCUAAUGUUUACAUUGAAAUUACUUUGUCCUUUGAUGUUACAAUAUUAUAUAAAAUGUGUAUGUUUUGUUUUUUUGUACUUGAUAACACAUAUUGUCAAAAAAAUGGUUAUUAAGGGGGAGGGUAGACCCACUGUUAUUCCAUGACUCAUGAAUGGAUACGCACAGGAUUGUUAACUGAUGGAGGAGGUUCACCACGGAAAAAUCUUUGGCUGCUUUGAUAAAUGCAGAUGAUGAUUAAGUAUGUGACAUUGUUCCCAUUUAUUCAGGGCUGAAUCAAUCAGUGCACCAAGUCAGCCUGAUGCAAUGGGCUACUCUAGAUGUGGUCUUCUGAAUAAGACAGAGUGUUAAAAUGAGGUCAUGACCACUUUUCAUGGGACUUUUUUUGCUUGGCUACAUUCCAGCUUCGCUAAUUAAAGUCUGUCUUUCUAAGACUCCUUUACAGUUUUAAUUGGGUAUGUUAUUUCUUGUGAAUUGUAUGGAAUUGUUAUUCACUGUCAUAAGCAGUGGCUGUAUUUCACCAUAGAGGUGGUUGCAUUUCAUCACAGGGAUCAAAGGAAGGGAAACAUGAAUAUAACUUUUUUAAGGGCACUUUGCAAUGCUUUGAGCUCUUUGGAAGAAAGCACUAGAAAGGAAAAUAAUGGUGGUUCUUAAAAUGUAAAGUAUUGCUAUUAUCAUUUUUGAAAAAAACCUAAAGAUUAAGAAUAUUUUCUGGUGGAGCUCAGGAAAAUUAUUCUAUUAUUUCAGGAAAAGGCCAUAAAUAUGAUAAUUGAAAAUUUAGUGGAAAAAAAAACUUUGCUGUCAUAUUUGAGAAGUCUCUAUAUUAUCUGUGUGUAGGGAAAAUAGUUGGAACUUCUAAGCCUUUCUGAGGAGAUAUUGUAUAGAAUAUACUAGUUUCUCAGUGCUGAGAAGACUGCAAUUUCUCCUCAGUUUAUAUUAGCUAAGGCCUUAUUUAGAGUUAAUUUUCUUUUCCUUUUCUACAGAUUGACAGUCUAUAUUGAACAAAUAUACUUGUAGACAAAUGAUAAAUUUUCACAUCACACUGAGCCUUUGUUUAGCCUAUUUUUAGUUACCUUAAUUGAUUGGUUGAGUCACACCUCUUGGAGGGGGCACCCCCCCACACACACAUACACAUGAAAUAAAAGUCUCUUUAGCACAAUGACUGCAUGUAGAGAAGGAGUAAAGAAUACCUUUUUUGCUACAGACAUAAUAACCAAUGAAGUUAUUGGCUAUUUUCCAUGUGUUUAUAUUUUUAGAAUCAAGAAAUGAGGUUGAAUUAAUAGAAUAAAAUAGAAUACCUUAAGAUGAGGGUAAAAAAGAAAGAGCAAUACAAAUAAAUGAGACGGAAACGUGGUUUAAAAAAACUCAGAUAGAUUAUAUAUUUGUUACAAAUAGAGCCCUCAGUUAGCUCUGCUUUUCAAUAAUUAACACAAGAAAACUGAAAACAUCACUUCGCUGCAUAGUUCCCCAUAUCUCAAAUAAAACUUAAAUAGCUCAGGAAUACAGAAAUCAUCUGGUUCCCCUCAACUCGGGAUCCCCACGAAGAAAACAAUGUGCGAUUUCACAACAGCCUCAGAACACCCUUAGAAUAGAUAAAAUUUUUCACAGGACUAUUCUCUACAAAGAUCUUAAAAAUAAAUGCAAGUGUUGCACACUAACACAAUUCUAGUAUGGAAACUUUUGGUUGUGGUGACCCAAGUGAACGUAAAUAAUUCUCCUUCACUCCACACUUGUCUGACUACUAAGUCCAUAAUUUUCAUUUUUGAUUCUGCAGUUUUUUAGAUAUUGCAACAUUGACUCAGCACCAUGCUGUUCAUUCAAUAACAUGAGAAUAGUGAUAUAUGACAGAACUGUAACACUCUGUAAAUCGUAUGUGUGUUCACAUAUACAAACAUUCACAUAUAUGUGCAUAACCAGUAUAAAAAAUACCUCCUAAGUUUCUCUGAAUAUUGUUUUAUUUUUCUUUGUUAUACUUAUCACUUAAAACUACCUCAAAAAAAAGGUGUAUAUGUGUCAUACAAACUCACACACACACGAACACAUGUGUUAGUUUCAGGAGCACAACAUUGGGUUAAUCAUGAUCCUUGGCUUUUAACAUGUUGCCAUCUUUGAUCCUUGUAUGGUCUCCAUUUUUAUUCAUUCAUUUAGGAUACAAUGAAUACCCUUGAACCUAACAUUCAUCCCCAAGAUCUAAAACAUUAAACAUAAGUUCCUCUAACAUGCUCCUUCUCUCUCUAUCCUCAUGUUUUCCUAGAGGUAGCUAUCAUUUUCUUGCUAAAACUCAUAAAUAUUCACCUACCUACCCACACACAUAAACACACAUAUAUGCUUGAACAACAAGUUUUUAACUGUCCUUAAUUUUUAAAAAUGUCUUUAUGCUGAAUGUAAUCUUCGGUGACCCACUUACUGUGCUUAAGCACAAUCUAGUCAUGUUGUUGCAGGUAUCCAUAGUUAUUUGUUUCUAGACUGUGUCAUAUUUCAUAGUAUAAAUAUAUCAAAAAAAUUUUCUGUCUACAGUACUGAUUUUCUGAUAUUUUUUAACACUUUUGCUGUGUGUCUGGUAUUUUUUUAACACUUUGCCUUGUGCAAAUGUGCAAAGUUUUCUCUUGAGUAUGUACCUAGAAAUAGAAUUACUAGGUCUUAAGUUAUGUUCAACUUUACAAGGCAAAACUAAAACGUCUUUCCAUUUAUACUGCUACCAGCCAUAUUUAAGAUACUCCUUCAGGAGUCCUCCUGUGGCACAGCAUUAUCACUGCAGUGGCUCUGGACGCUGCCAUGGUGUGGGUUCAAACCCUGGCCCAGGAAUUUUUACAUGC
Molecule: long non-coding RNA, 5237 nt
Filed under: Sus scrofa (pig)
Lineage: Eukaryota; Metazoa; Chordata; Mammalia; Artiodactyla; Suidae
Description: lncRNA (ENSSSCG00000053794.1)
Source: RNAcentral